Molecule: long non-coding RNA, 259 nt
Filed under: Physcomitrium patens
Lineage: Eukaryota; Viridiplantae; Streptophyta; Bryopsida; Funariales; Funariaceae
Description: long non-coding RNA (PPAT_LNC006354)
Source: RNAcentral
AAAAUGUGCUUAGGUAUUGGCCAGCUUGCUUCUCCGACCUUGAUGCCAAUCUCCUAGAGCUAAUUACUCUUGAUUGAACCAUUACUUUGCAUCCAAACUUUAUACACUUAUUAAAAAUCAAGCUAACUACCUCUAUAGAAAAAAAAUUUAAUCUAAUUGGUAGAUUGAUAAAUAUCUAAGAAAACCUCACUGGUCUUCAAAACCCUAAAUUUUGAGACCAUAAUCUAUAAAAACCUUCAUGCCUUUCAAACCAAAUGUU